AUUUUACUUGCAUGUAUAUUUAAAAAUAUAUAUAUUUUUAUCAACAUGUUUUGUCCAUCAUGUUUAGAAAAAUUCUCAUAGUGUUUUCCGUGGUUGUUCUCUUUUUCCCACGCAUCGCGUAAAACAACAACAAACCAGAUUUUUUUUGCAGCUGCAGGUCUGGUGCUGUGCUUAUUUAAUUCGUCUUCGUUAAGUGAAAAUUCUAAUAAAUUGUCUCGAAAGUGAGAACUGCAAGGAAGACAUAUUAUUUGGCUUAUUCGGUUAUUUGAGGUUCUUAGAAAUAUCCCUGAAACGCCGCCAGUAUCCAAAGAUGCUCCCAUGCCCGCUCCCAUUUACUGCAUUGAUCAUCAGGCAAGGACGACGCUAUAAUACAGAACGCCGAAAAAACGACCGGGCUCGCGACCGAGCGGGACAUGGAAUCAUGGAAUCGGAAGAUAAUAUGUAGUUCCGGUACACAUUUGUGUCCGACGAAAACAUCAUUGUAUAAAGAACUACUCUGCGAACCCCGACGAAUGCAUGGAUUUUUCCAGCCGCUUUGGCGAAUGAGAGCUUGCACUAUUUAAUAAAGAAAUAAUUAAAAUAAUACAAUUCAUAAACUUCA
Long non-coding RNA from Armigeres subalbatus, 601 nucleotides. RefSeq lists it as uncharacterized. The record is from RefSeq and is a predicted model, not a curated record. The transcript is spliced from 2 exons. Lineage: Eukaryota; Metazoa; Arthropoda; Insecta; Diptera; Culicidae.